Molecule: ribosomal RNA, 2369 nt
Filed under: Klebsiella oxytoca
Lineage: Bacteria; Pseudomonadati; Pseudomonadota; Gammaproteobacteria; Enterobacterales; Enterobacteriaceae
Description: partial 23S ribosomal RNA
Rfam family: Bacterial large subunit ribosomal RNA
Source: RNAcentral
GGGUGACUGCGUACCUUUUGUAUAAUGGGUCAGCGACUUAUAUUCUGUAGCAAGGUUAACCGAAUAGGGGAGCCGCAGGGAAACCGAGUCUUAACUGGGCGUUAAGUUGCAGGGUAUAGACCCGAAACCCGGUGAUCUAGCCAUGGGCAGGUUGAAGGUUGGGUAACACUAACUGGAGGACCGAACCGACUAAUGUUGAAAAAUUAGCGGAUGACUUGUGGCUGGGGGUGAAAGGCCAAUCAAACCGGGAGAUAGCUGGUUCUCCCCGAAAGCUAUUUAGGUAGCGCCUCGUGAAUUCAUCUUCGGGGGUAGAGCACUGUUUCGGCUAGGGGGUCAUCCCGACUUACCAACCCGAUGCAAACUACGAAUACCGAAGAAUGUUAUCACGGGAGACACACGGCGGGUGCUAACGUCCGUCGUGAAGAGGGAAACAACCCAGACCGCCAGCUAAGGUCCCAAAGUCAUGGUUAAGUGGGAAACGAUGUGGGAAGGCCCAGACAGCCAGGAUGUUGGCUUAGAAGCAGCCAUCAUUUAAAGAAAGCGUAAUAGCUCACUGGUCGAGUCGGCCUGCGCGGAAGAUGUAACGGGGCUAAACCAUGCACCGAAGCUGCGGCAGCGACACUAUGUGUUGUUGGGUAGGGGAGCGUUCUGUAAGCCGUUGAAGGUGGCCUGUGAGGGUUGCUGGAGGUAUCAGAAGUGCGAAUGCUGACAUAAGUAACGAUAAUGCGGGUGAAAAACCCGCACGCCGGAAGACCAAGGGUUCCUGUCCAACGUUAAUCGGGGCAGGGUGAGUCGACCCCUAAGGCGAGGCCGAAAGGCGUAGUCGAUGGGAAACAGGUUAAUAUUCCUGUACUUGGUGUUACUGCGAAGGGGGGACGGAGAAGGCUAUGUUGGCCGGGCGACGGUUGUCCCGGUUUAAGCAUGUAGGCGGAUGUUCCAGGUAAAUCCGGAACGUCACUAACGCUGAGGUGUGAUGACGAGGCACUACGGUGCUGAAGUGACAAAUGCCCUGCUUCCAGGAAAAGCCUCUAAGCAUCAGGUAACAUCAAAUCGUACCCCAAACCGACACAGGUGGUCAGGUAGAGAAUACCAAGGCGCUUGAGAGAACUCGGGUGAAGGAACUAGGCAAAAUGGUGCCGUAACUUCGGGAGAAGGCACGCUGAUGGUAAGUGAAGUGACUUGCUCAUGGAGCUGAAAUCAGUCGAAGAUACCAGCUGGCUGCAACUGUUUAUUAAAAACACAGCACUGUGCAAACACGAAAGUGGACGUAUACGGUGUGACGCCUGCCCGGUGCCGGAAGGUUAAUUGAUGGGGUUAUCCUCGCGGAGAAGCUCUUGAUCGAAGCCCCGGUAAACGGCGGCCGUAACUAUAACGGUCCUAAGGUAGCGAAAUUCCUUGUCGGGUAAGUUCCGACCUGCACGAAUGGCGUAAUGAUGGCCAGGCUGUCUCCACCCGAGACUCAGUGAAAUUGAACUCGCUGUGAAGAUGCAGUGUACCCGCGGCAAGACGGAAAGACCCCGUGAACCUUUACUAUAGCUUGACACUGAACACUGGUCCUUGAUGUGUAGGAUAGGUGGGAGGCUUUGAAGUGUGGACGCCAGUCUGCAUGGAGCCGUCCUUGAAAUACCACCCUUUAAUGGCUGGUGUUCUAACGUGGGCCCGUGAUCCGGGUUGCGGACAGUGUCUGGUGGGUAGUUUGACUGGGGCGGUCUCCUCCUAAAGAGUAACGGAGGAGCACGAAGGUCAGCUAAUCCUGGUCGGACAUCAGGAGGUUAGUGCAAUGGCAUAAGCUGGCUUGACUGCGAGCGUGACGGCGCGAGCAGGUGCGAAAGCAGGUCAUAGUGAUCCGGUGGUUCUGAAUGGAAGGGCCAUCGCUCAACGGAUAAAAGGUACUCCGGGGAUAACAGGCUGAUACCGCCCAAGAGUUCAUAUCGACGGCGGUGUUUGGCACCUCGAUGUCGGCUCAUCACAUCCUGGGGCUGAAGUAGGUCCCAAGGGUAUGGCUGUUCGCCAUUUAAAGUGGUACGCGAGCUGGGUUUAGAACGUCGUGAGACAGUUCGGUCCCUAUCUGCCGUGGGCGCUGGAGAAUUGAGGGGGGCUGCUCCUAGUACGAGAGGACCGGAGUGGACGCAUCACUGGUGUUCGGGUUGUCAUGCCAAUGGCAUUGCCCGGUAGCUAAAUGCGGAAGAGAUAAGUGCUGAAAGCAUCUAAGCACGAAACUUGCCCCGAGAUGAGUUCUCCCUGACUCCUUGAGAGUCCUGAAGGAACGUUGAAGACGACGACGUUGAUAGGCCGGGUGUGUAAGCGCAGCGAUGCGUUGAGCUAACCGGUACUAAUGAACCGUGAGGCUUAACCUUACAACGCCGAAG